Molecule: ribosomal RNA, 254 nt
Filed under: uncultured bacterium
Lineage: Bacteria
Description: partial 16S ribosomal RNA
Rfam family: Bacterial small subunit ribosomal RNA
Source: RNAcentral
UACGUAGGGCGCAAGCGUUGUCCGGAAUUAUUGGGCGUAAAGAGCUCGUAGGCGGUUUGUCGCGUCUGCUGUGAAAACCUAAGGCUCAACCUUGGGCUUGCAGUGGGUACGGGCAGACUAGAGUGCGGUAGGGGUGACUGGAAUUCCUGGUGUAGCGGUGGAAUGCGCAGAUAUCAGGAGGAACACCGAUGGCGAAGGCAGGUCACUGGGCCGCAACUGACGCUGAGGAGCGAAAAGCAUGGGGAGCGAACAGG